This 267-nucleotide ribosomal RNA is filed under the name uncultured Anaerostipes sp. RNAcentral's name for it is "partial 16S ribosomal RNA". It matches the Rfam family "Bacterial small subunit ribosomal RNA", at positions 525 to 791 of the family's 1533-position model. The record is from RNAcentral. Lineage: Bacteria; Bacillati; Bacillota; Clostridia; Lachnospirales; Lachnospiraceae.
ACGUAGGGGGCAAGCGUUAUCCGGAAUUACUGGGUGUAAAGGGUGCGUAGGUGGUAUGGCAAGUCAGAAGUGAAAACCCAGGGCUUAACUCUGGGACUGCUUUUGAAACUGUCAGACUGGAGUGCAGGAGAGGUAAGCGGAAUUCCUAGUGUAGCGGUGAAAUGCGUAGAUAUUAGGAGGAACAUCAGUGGCGAAGGCGGCUUACUGGACUGAAACUGACACUGAGGCACGAAAGCGUGGGGAGCAAACAGGAUUAGAUACCCUUGU